GGGCCUAUAGAUCAGUUGGUUAUAGAGUACACACCUAAUAAUUGUGAGGUCGGUGGUUCAAGUUACACAUUUAGGCCCACCA
RNAcentral lists this transfer RNA (82 nucleotides) under Clover phyllody phytoplasma. RNAcentral's name for it is "tRNA-Ile". Lineage: Bacteria; Bacillati; Mycoplasmatota; Mollicutes; Acholeplasmatales; Acholeplasmataceae. The record is from RNAcentral. RNAcentral also lists the same sequence under 3 other names.